GGUUGAUCCUGCCGGCGGCCACCGCUAUUGGAAUUCGAUUAAGACAUGCGAGUCGAGAGUCUUAGGGACUCGGCGGACGGCUCAGUAACACGUGGAUAAUCUGCCCUUGGGAGGGGGAUAACCUCGAGAAAUUGAGAAUAAUACCCCAUAGACCAUAGGUGCUGGAACUCGCCCUAUGGUUUAAAGCUCCGGCGCCCAAGGAUGAGUCUGCGGCCUAUCAGGUUGUGGUGGGUGUAACGGACCCACUAGCCAGUGACGGGUACGGGCGUUGGGAGACGUUGCCCGGAGAUGGAUUCUGAGACACGAAUCCAGGCCCUACGGGGCGCAGCAGUUACGAAAACUUCACAAUGUGGGAAACCACGAUGAGGGAAUUCCAAGUGCAUGCACAUUGUGUAUGCUGUUCACUUGCCUAAAAAGCAUGUGAAGUAAGGGCUGGGUAAGACAGGUGCCAGCCGCCGCGGUAAUACCUGCAGCCCGAGUGGUGGUCAAUAUUAUUGAGCCUAAAGCGUCCGUAGCCUGGUCGGUAAAUCCUUGGGUAAAUCGGGCAGCUUAACUGUCCGACUUCCGAGGAGACUGCUGACCUUGGGACCGGGAGAGGUCUGAGGUACUCUAGGGGUAGGGGUAAAAUCCUGUAAUCCUUAGAGGACCACCAGUGGCGAAGGCGUCAGACUAGAACGGAUCCGACGGUAAGGGACGAAGCCCUGGGGCGCAAACGGGAUUAGAUACCCCGGUAGUCCAGGGUGUAAACGCUGCAGGCUUGGUGUCGGGGGUCCUACGAGGGCGUCCGGUGCCGGAGAGAAGUUGUUAAGCCUGCCGCUUGGGGAGUACGUUCGCAAGAAUGAAACUUAAAGGAAUUGGCGGGAGAGCACCGCAACGGGAGGAGCGUGCGGUUUAAUUGGAUUCAACGCCGGAAAACUCACCGGGAGCGACGAUUACAUGAAGGCCAAGCCGAUGACUUUGCCUGAUUAAUCGAGAGGUGUUGCAUGGCCGUCGUCAGUUCGUACCGUAGGGCGUUCUGUUAAGUCAGAUAACGAACGAGACCCUCGCCCUUAAUUGCCAGCCUGUUCUUCGGAGCAGAGGAACAUUAAGGGGACCGCUAGCGCUAAGCUGGAGGAAGGAGAGGUCAACGGUAGGUCAGUAUGGCCCGAAUCUCCCGGGCAACACGCGCGCUACAAAGGGUGGGACAAUGGGCUCCGACGCCGAAAGGCGAAGGCAAUCUCGAAACCCAUCCGUAGUUCGGAUUGAGGGCUGUAACCCGCCCUCAUGAAUGCUGGAUUCCGUAGUAAUCGCGGGUCAACAUCCCGCGGUGAAUGUGCCCCUGCUCUUUGCACACACCGCCCGUCAAACCACCCGAGUUGGGUCUUAGUGAGGAUGCUCAUUAUUGGGGCGUUCGAACUGAGGUUCAGCAAGGAGGGUUAAGUCGUAACAAGGUA
This 1433-nucleotide ribosomal RNA is filed under the name metagenome. RNAcentral's name for it is "bacterial SSU rRNA". It matches the Rfam family "Archaeal small subunit ribosomal RNA". The record is from RNAcentral.